ACAACGAAAUGAAGAGAGUAAUCUUGGCGGUACUACUGAUCGUUUCCCUGGUGGCGUCCACGGAAGCGGCAUGCAGUGCGUACAACAGCCGAAUACACAUUUGCUGCAAUGGAAAGCUCAGUUAAAAAUGUUCGGACAACGCAUGCUGCAAUGCUUCUCCUUAUAACACCGAUCACAGAUUUGCUGCAAUGGAAGGCUCAGUUACAAAGGUUCCAACAACGCAUGCUGCAAUACUUCUCCAUAUAACACCCGAACACAUAUUUGCUGCAAUGGAAGGCUCAGUUACAAAGGUUCGAACAAUUCGUGUAAUUAAAGCUAUGCAUACUUCUACCGUAUAUUCGCGAACAGUAAUAUACGUGGUUAUGUAUGGGUACUGGCGGAUUUCUCCAUAAACUGAACUGAUAUGAUUGAGUGCCACUUGUUCAUAUGCUUAUGAAAUGGUAAUGAAUUAUGUAUACUGCGAUGAGCAGAUUGAAUCUAUCUAUAUUUUAUUGUAUGGGAAUUUAUUUGUGAUUUUUCAAAUGACAAAAUGAAUCGUACCAUUUUGCGAGCAGUGCGUUAAUUUUUUUCUUUGGUUUAAUAAUUACGAUUCACUAGUUAUGUUGAAGCAAUGUUAGUAAGUAGAGUUGUUAAAAUCACUAUCAUAUCAUUAUGAUACUGAGAAAAUUAUAGCUAUAAAAUGUGAACACGUGUUUCUUAUAAUCUUACUAGUUUAAAUGAGAUGAUAUAAAUAAUUAAGAGCAAAGAUCGCGAGAAUUCGUGAUAUAUAUAUAUAUAUAUAUAUAUAUAUAUAUAUAAUAUAUAUAAUA
This is a long non-coding RNA of Priapulus caudatus, 809 nucleotides long. RefSeq lists it as uncharacterized. The record is from RefSeq and is a predicted model, not a curated record. Lineage: Eukaryota; Metazoa; Priapulida; Priapulimorpha; Priapulimorphida; Priapulidae. The transcript is spliced from 3 exons.